This 494-nucleotide ribosomal RNA is filed under the name Halomonas sp. M7-C6. Its description in RNAcentral is "bacterial SSU rRNA". It matches the Rfam family "Bacterial small subunit ribosomal RNA", at positions 1 to 492 of the family's 1533-position model. Lineage: Bacteria; Pseudomonadati; Pseudomonadota; Gammaproteobacteria; Oceanospirillales; Halomonadaceae. The record is from RNAcentral.
UAGAGUUUGGAUCAUGGCUCAGAUUGAACGCUGGCGGCAGGCCUAACACAUGCAAGUCGAGCGGAAACGAUGGAAGCUUGCUUCCAGGCGUCGAGCGGCGGACGGGUGAGUAAUGCAUGGGAAUCUGCCCGAUAGUGGGGGAUAACCUGGGGAAACCCAGGCUAAUACCGCAUACGUCCUACGGGAGAAAGCAGGGGAUCUUCGGACCUUGCGCUAUCGGAUGAGCCCAUGUCGGAUUAGCUUGUUGGUGAGGUAAUGGCUCACCAAGGCGACGAUCCGUAGCUGGUCUGAGAGGAUGAUCAGCCACAUCGGGACUGAGACACGGCCCGAACUCCUACGGGAGGCAGCAGUGGGGAAUAUUGGACAAUGGGCGAAAGCCUGAUCCAGCCAUGCCGCGUGUGUGAAGAAGGCCCUCGGGUUGUAAAGCACUUUCAGUGGGGAAGAAAGCCUUGGGAUUAAUACUCCCGAGGAAGGACAUCACCCACAGAGAGCCG